AAAAUGACUAUGAGCAGAGAGUAGCAGGAACCGAAGACAAGUACGAUUAGCUGCCAGAAGUUUAACAUUUCCCUCUUCAAAAGAAAGAUUACGUAAAAUCACUGCAAUCUGCAGUACCCGCUGCCCUUCAAUAUCAUUAAUGCCCAGUUUGCGAGGUGGAUGAAAUAAGGAUUCCCAAAUCCAAUCUUCUGAUGGAAUAUCUUGAGAUUUGCUUCUGUCAGAAAUUAGGUCACGUACUUCAAUAUCCUCAACAAUAUCCCUCCAAAACUUAACAAAAUCUCUAUCAGUUUUCUCCUUCCAUUCUUCUCCAAAUACAGCAGAAAAUGAUCCUAAAGUGUCAUCAAAUACCCCAGCAUUAGCAAGCAGUAACGUGAUGAUUUUAGGGUCCUUUUCAAGCUGCAUGACAUGCUUGCUUUCAUUUGAAAGAAGAGUACAUACAUUAAUUGCAAAAUCCACUUCAUUUGGGAGUCCAGAUAACAGUGAAAGCACCAAUUUAUUAUAAUCGUUUGGUGAGUUAAAGUCCAUAGAUAGCCCAUAGCUUUGACGAAGGUAAUCUGACACACUGUGUUGCUGGUAGUUAUAGGAAGUUGGGAUUGCACCAAUGGGAAGUUGUGGCUUUGGAUUGCCUGGUUGUACCUCCUCGUCCUCCUCCCCAAAAUGAUGGACUUUUUCAUACUUUUCUAGAUAACGCAAGUAAUACUGUUUUAAAGCGAAGGCAGCGUUAGAACAACUUCUGGGAAAGUUGAACUCCUCCACGAUCUCUCCCCACUGGUUCUUCUCGGAGACCUG
Molecule: long non-coding RNA, 789 nt
Filed under: Gallus gallus (chicken)
Lineage: Eukaryota; Metazoa; Chordata; Aves; Galliformes; Phasianidae
Source: RNAcentral